Molecule: ribosomal RNA, 247 nt
Filed under: uncultured bacterium
Lineage: Bacteria
Description: partial 16S ribosomal RNA
Rfam family: Bacterial small subunit ribosomal RNA
Source: RNAcentral
CGAAGGCAAGCGGAUCUCUUAAAGCUGUUCUCAGUUCGGACUGCAGUCUGCAACUCGACUGCACAAAGCUGGAAUCGCUAGUAAUCGCGGAUCAGCACGCCGCGGUGAAUACGUUCCCGGGCCUUGUACACACCGCCCGUCACACCAUGGAAGUCUGCAAUGCCCGAAGCCGGUGGCCUAACCACUUAUGUGGAAGGAGCCGUCUAAGGCAGGGCAGAUGACUGGGGUGAAGUCGUAACAAGGUACC